UACGUAGGGUGCGAGCGUUAAUCGGAAUUACUGGGCGUAAAGGGUGCGUAGGCGGUUCGUUAAGUCUGUCGUGAAAUCCCCGGGCUCAACCUGGGAAUGGCGAUGGAUACUGGCGAGCUAGAGUGUGUCAGAGGAUGGUGGAAUUCCCGGUGUAGCGGUGAAAUGCGUAGAGAUCGGGAGGAACAUCAGUGGCGAAGGCGGCCAUCUGGGACAACACUGACGCUGAAGCACGAAAGCGUGGGGAGCAAACAGG
RNAcentral lists this ribosomal RNA (253 nucleotides) under uncultured bacterium. Its description in RNAcentral is "partial 16S ribosomal RNA". It matches the Rfam family "Bacterial small subunit ribosomal RNA", at positions 524 to 776 of the family's 1533-position model. The record is from RNAcentral.